Long non-coding RNA from Phlebotomus papatasi, 950 nucleotides. RefSeq lists it as uncharacterized. The record is from RefSeq and is a predicted model, not a curated record. Lineage: Eukaryota; Metazoa; Arthropoda; Insecta; Diptera; Psychodidae. The transcript has 3 exons.
ACAUUCAGAUCUAUGACUGAUUUUAUCAGUACGGAAAACAUUAAAACGAGUCAGUCUUGAAGAAACCGCUGAGUUGAAAAGUUGUCACACAAAUUAUUUCCAAUCUAUUUGAAAAUGAAAAAAAAAACUAAAAAAAUGUUAGAGUGAAUAAGUAAACUUAUAAAGUGGCAAAAAUCAUCAAGUGAUCGACAAAGAAAUUUGAUAAAGUGUUGGAAAUCGUUAGAUUGGGUAAGUAAAAAAAUAUUUGCCAGAAAAGUAUUAAUCAUAUUCGGUAAAUUAAAUUAAAUUUAUUUCUUCUUUUAAGCUAAAAUGGAAUGUCAAACUUUUUAUUAUUUUAUUUAAAUUUAAAAUUCGUCAUAAGAAUUUUUUAUUAUUUAAUACUUUACUAACGAUUUGUAAUUUUCAAUAUUUUUCAAGUUCAAUCGAUCAUCCUGAUUGCAAGUCAUUGUUGAUUGGAAACGUCCGUGAGCAGAAGCUGGAAAAUUAUCCCCAUCUGUUUUAUCGAACUACUUUUCUUCAAAAAUUCCAUCUAGGAGAGACCUAAAUAGUAUCAAGGACAAUCAUUGUCUUUUCCAUGGAAUUGGAAAAGUGAUUCGCAAAUAGCAGCAGAACUCAGAGCAAACAGUAAAGGCCGUAAAUCUGCAAAACACAACUUAGAAAAGUGAGCGCUGUAAUAAAAGUAGACGAGGAGCACUACCACUGAUCAAAUUUCAUUAUGUCAUCGUUUAUCUUUACGGGGCAAAACACAAUCAGUCUUUUGAAAUAUCUUAUUUCUUCUGAAACUGGUAAACACAAUUGGGAGAAAGCAGAAGAACAUACAUCCAAAAGCUGAGAAGAAGACUUCACGAAACUACUAGAAAGUCGUGCAACACCCCAUAGAAAUUAAUGUAAUACAAUUUUAUUGUGAAUACACAUUAUUUAUGUCAAAUAAAUUUAUUUUUGAAAUCAUA